Molecule: long non-coding RNA, 202 nt
Filed under: Manihot esculenta (cassava)
Lineage: Eukaryota; Viridiplantae; Streptophyta; Magnoliopsida; Malpighiales; Euphorbiaceae
Description: long non-coding RNA (MESC_LNC007928)
Source: RNAcentral
AUCCCAGGUAUUUCUCUUUGAUUCUUCAUGUGGAGAAGGAAAGUUUCCACUCUAUUGUGGAUGCUGCUAGAAAGAUGGAGGCCAGUGCCAUAAGUCAAGGUGUAGUCAAGGCACAGUCUUCUGGUGUUAAACCCGGUUCCUCCUCACAGAGUACAGCAAGUGCAAGUAAGAAGAGAUGGGAGAAGUUCAGAGGAAAGAGAGG